CCCGUUGAACUCGAUUAUCCGAGCAGGGAUAUUCACUUGCGGUUGGCCGGCGACGGCAGACCGCAGGGCACUUAUCCACUGCUUCACCAGGACAUUGCGAUCCAUUACGAAACUGCCUUCGCUGGCAAGAAGCUCGGCAUCAGGGCCCGACCAGUUGCUUGUCCCACCGUAGCGGCGCUCAGUUCUGAAGGCCUGUACCGCGAACCGGGGCUUACUGGUGUGGUGUUUCCCGCCGAGCGCGUGAUGGAUUCCCACUGACACCGUCUCGGAUGCUCGCUCAUCCACCUACAGUCUAGGUGACGGAGAUCGAUCGGCUAUGAACAAUCGAGGUACCUUCGGG
This 340-nucleotide ribosomal RNA is filed under the name Uranotaenia sapphirina. RNAcentral describes it as "eukaryotic LSU rRNA". Lineage: Eukaryota; Metazoa; Arthropoda; Insecta; Diptera; Culicidae. The record is from RNAcentral.